Transfer RNA from Camelus ferus (Wild Bactrian camel), 73 nucleotides. It matches the Rfam family "tRNA". Rfam says of the family: Transfer RNA (tRNA) molecules are approximately 80 nucleotides in length. Their secondary structure includes four short double-helical elements and three loops (D, anti-codon, and T loops). Further hydrogen bonds mediate the characteristic L-shaped molecular structure. tRNAs have two regions of fundamental functional importance: the anti-codon, which is responsible for specific mRNA codon recognition, and the 3' end, to which the tRNAs corresponding amino acid is attached (by aminoacyl-tRNA synthetases). tRNAs cope with the degeneracy of the genetic code in two manners: having more than one tRNA (with a specific anti-codon) for a particular amino acid; and 'wobble' base-pairing, i.e. permitting non-standard base-pairing at the 3rd anti-codon position. Lineage: Eukaryota; Metazoa; Chordata; Mammalia; Artiodactyla; Camelidae. The record is from Rfam.
GGGUAUAUAGCUCAAGUAGUAGAGCGCAUGCUUAGCACUCAUGAGGUCCUGGGUUCAAUCCCCAGUACCUCCU